UUGACUUAUUUAGUAGUCCACUCAGAAUUCGACGCUGAAGCCAGGUUUUGGUUGCGUGCAUCCGGCGGUUGCCACCCCCGCAGUGCGGGGGAGGCGGCGCCCACUGCCGCGGGCGCGCCGCCGAAGCAACGAUAGGUGUGUCCACGAGGGUUGGGAGUUUAGAACUCGCUAAUGAUCCCUCCGCUGGUUCACCAACGGAGA
This 201-nucleotide unclassified non-coding RNA is filed under the name uncultured fungus. RNAcentral's name for it is "sequence contains ITS1". Lineage: Eukaryota; Fungi. The record is from RNAcentral.